RNAcentral lists this ribosomal RNA (128 nucleotides) under uncultured Gammaproteobacteria bacterium. Its description in RNAcentral is "partial 16S ribosomal RNA". The record is from RNAcentral. Lineage: Bacteria; Pseudomonadati; Pseudomonadota; Gammaproteobacteria.
AGAGUUUGAUUAUGGCUCAGAUUGAACGCUGGCGGCUGCGCCUAACACGAUGCNAGUGGAUACGUAYGAGUGGGUAGACUCUGCUCCCUCUGAUUCUGCGGCGGGACCGGAUGAGCUACCACCUCAAA